GGAGAGCCCACUAUCAUUUUUAAGGGAGCUUCUACAGUACGAUUCCACCGGCAGCAGAAAGGCAUGCGGCGGGAAAAAGAAGAGAACCCCCUCCACCGCCUCCUUCUCCUGUUCUAAAAAGAUGUUGCCACCGCUCGCCUCUUCUGUCUCCUCCCUCUCUUUGUCGCGUUAGAAAACCAAGUACCGGUGGGGAAAGGAGCGGAGCUUCUUGAUGAACAAGAGUCGCUGCUGCGGACGGAUCG
This 242-nucleotide long non-coding RNA is filed under the name Phoenix dactylifera (date palm). RNAcentral describes it as "long non-coding RNA (PDAC_LNC013893)". The record is from RNAcentral. Lineage: Eukaryota; Viridiplantae; Streptophyta; Magnoliopsida; Arecales; Arecaceae.